GGACGGGUGAGUAAUGCCUAGGAAAUUGCCCUGAUGUGGGGGAUAACCAUUGGAAACGAUGGCUAAUACCGCAUGAUGCCUACGGGCCAAAGAGGGGGACCUUCGGGCCUCUCGCGUCAGGAUAUGCCUAGGUGGGAUUAGCUAGUUGGUGAGGUAAGGGCUCACCAAGGCGACGAUCCCUAGCUGGUCUGAGAGGAUGAUCAGCCACACUGGAACUGAGACACGGUCCAGACUCCUACGGGAGGCAGCAGUGGGGAAUAUUGCACAAUGGGCGCAAGCCUGAUGCAGCCAUGCCGCGUGUGUGAAGAAGGCCUUCGGGUUGUAAAGCACUUUCAGUCGUGAGGAAGGUAGUGUAGUUAAUAGCUGCAUUAUUUGACGUUAGCGACAGAAGAAGCACCGGCUAACUCCGUGCCAGCAGCCGCGGUAAUACGGAGGGUGCGAGCGUUAAUCGGAAUUACUGGGCGUAAAGCGCAUGCAGGUGGUUUGUUAAGUCAGAUGUGAAAGCCCGGGGCUCAACCUCGGAAUUGCAUUUGAAACUGGCAGACUAGAGUACUGUAGAGGGGGGUAGAAUUUCAGGUGUAGCGGUGAAAUGCGUAGAGAUCUGAAGGAAUACCGGUGGCGAAGGCGGCCCCCUGGACAGAUACUGACACUCAGAUGCGAAAGCGUGGGGAGCAAACAGGAUUAGAUACCCUGGUAGUCCACGCCGUAAACGAUGUCUACUUGGAGGUUGUGGCCUUGAGCCGUGGCUUUCGGAGCUAACGCGUUAAGUAGACCGCCUGGGGAGUACGGUCGCAAGAUUAAAACUCAAAUGAAUUGACGGGGGCCCGCACAAGCGGUGGAGCAUGUGGUUUAAUUCGAUGCAACGCGAAGAACCUUACCUAC
RNAcentral lists this ribosomal RNA (882 nucleotides) under Vibrio parahaemolyticus. Its description in RNAcentral is "bacterial SSU rRNA". It matches the Rfam family "Bacterial small subunit ribosomal RNA", at positions 100 to 978 of the family's 1533-position model. Lineage: Bacteria; Pseudomonadati; Pseudomonadota; Gammaproteobacteria; Vibrionales; Vibrionaceae. The record is from RNAcentral.